RNAcentral lists this ribosomal RNA (792 nucleotides) under Triticum aestivum (bread wheat). RNAcentral's name for it is "partial small subunit ribosomal RNA". Lineage: Eukaryota; Viridiplantae; Streptophyta; Magnoliopsida; Poales; Poaceae. The record is from RNAcentral.
AUGGACUGGAACUACGGCCCCGAGGAGCAGGUCCUGUGGCCGGCGUCGGUCCUCGCCGGCGUCCUCAUGUGCGCCGCCGUAUAUAAGGUAACUAAAAAGGUUAGCUCAUCGUGCUUCAAGUGUUAUGAUGGAUUAAGUCCAAUGCAAAAGCUUGAGUGGAAUAAUAGGGGCUUCUCUACGGUCCAUGCAUUGGUUGCUGCUGCCGUUUCCUUUUACUUGGUCAUGAUAUCUGGCCUCUUCAGUGAAGAUGUCAAUGGCAUAAUCAUUGACAGAAAGUCAUGGUUAUCCGAUUCCAUGUUUGGGGUCUCGAUCGGGUACUUUUUCACAGACUUGGCGAUGAUCCUAUGGCAUUUUCCAUCUUUAGGUGGAAAAGAAUUUCUCUUGCAUCACGGACUUUCCAUGUACGCAAUCUGUCUUGCUUUGUUCAGUGGGAAAGCACACAUGUACAUACUCAUGGUCCUCUUCACUGAAGCCACCACUCCAUUUGUGAACCUUAGAUGGUAUCUGGAUGUUGCUGGUCAGAAGGAUCACAACCUUUACUUAUACAAUGGAUUGGCUAUGUUUGUCGGAUGGCUGAUUGCUCGGAUAAUCUUGUUCGUAUAUUUCUUCACUCAUGUCUACUCCCAUUAUGAUCAGGUGAAGUCCAUCUUCGCCCUGGGAUUCUACGGCAUAAUGACAGUGCCACCGACGCUGGCCGUGAUGAACGUGUUCUGGUUCCGGAAGAUAUGUAGGGGGAUGGUCAGAACCCUGUCGAAGAUGAAGCAGCAUACCGCAAACGGGAAGACGGAUUAG